Molecule: ribosomal RNA, 510 nt
Filed under: uncultured bacterium
Lineage: Bacteria
Description: bacterial SSU rRNA
Rfam family: Bacterial small subunit ribosomal RNA
Source: RNAcentral
GAUGAACGCUAGCGGCAGGCCUAACACAUGCAAGUCGAGGGGCAGCGCGGGUAGCAAUACCUGGCGGCGACCGGCGCACGGGUGAGUAACGCGUAUGCAACCUGCCCGCCACAGGGGGAUAGCCCGCCGAAAGGCGGAUUAAUACCCCAUCGCCCCACGUUCCGGCAUCGGGAUGUGGGUAAAGGAGCGAUCCGGUGGCGGAUGGGCAUGCGUGCCAUUAGCUAGCUGGCGGGGUAACGGCCCACCAGGGCGACGAUGGCUAGGGGGUCUGAGAGGAUGGUCCCCCACACUGGUACUGAGACACGGACCAGACUCCUACGGGAGGCAGCAGUGAGGAAUAUUGGUCAAUGGGCGGAAGCCUGAACCAGCCAUGCCGCGUGCAGGAAGACGGCCCUACGGGUUGUAAACUGCUUUUCCGGGGGAAGAAUAAGGCCCACGUGUGGGCCGAUGCCGGUACCCCGGGAAUAAGGAUCGGCUAACUCCGUGCCAGCAGCCGCGGUAAGUGACGUC